RNAcentral lists this ribosomal RNA (644 nucleotides) under Escherichia coli. Its description in RNAcentral is "partial 23S ribosomal RNA". It matches the Rfam family "Bacterial large subunit ribosomal RNA", at positions 1241 to 1869 of the family's 2925-position model. Lineage: Bacteria; Pseudomonadati; Pseudomonadota; Gammaproteobacteria; Enterobacterales; Enterobacteriaceae. The record is from RNAcentral. RNAcentral also lists the same sequence under 1 other name.
CUGUAAGCCUGCGAAGGUGUGCUGUGAGGCAUGCUGGAGGUAUCAGAAGUGCGAAUGCUGACAUAAGUAACGAUAAAGCGGGUGAAAAGCCCGCUCGCCGGAAGACCAAGGGUUCCUGUCCAACGUUAAUCGGGGCAGGGUGAGUCGACCCCUAAGGCGAGGCCGAAAGGCGUAGUCGAUGGGAAACAGGUUAAUAUUCCUGUACUUGGUGUUACUGCGAAGGGGGGACGGAGAAGGCUAUGUUGGCCGGGCGACGGUUGUCCCGGUUUAAGCGUGUAGGCUGGUUUUCCAGGCAAAUCCGGAAAAUCAAGGCUGAGGCGUGAUGACGAGGCACUACGGUGCUGAAGCAACAAAUGCCCUGCUUCCAGGAAAAGCCUCUAAGCAUCAGGUAACAUCAAAUCGUACCCCAAACCGACACAGGUGGUCAGGUAGAGAAUACCAAGGCGCUUGAGAGAACUCGGGUGAAGGAACUAGGCAAAAUGGUGCCGUAACUUCGGGAGAAGGCACGCUGAUAUGUAGGUGAAGUCCCUCGCGGAUGGAGCUGAAAUCAGUCGAAGAUACCAGCUGGCUGCAACUGUUUAUUAAAAACACAGCACUGUGCAAACACGAAAGUGGACGUAUACGGUGUGACGCCUGCCCGGUGC